RNAcentral lists this ribosomal RNA (720 nucleotides) under uncultured beta proteobacterium. Its description in RNAcentral is "bacterial SSU rRNA". It matches the Rfam family "Bacterial small subunit ribosomal RNA", at positions 28 to 737 of the family's 1533-position model. The record is from RNAcentral. Lineage: Bacteria; Pseudomonadati; Pseudomonadota; Betaproteobacteria.
AUUGAACGCUGGCGGCAUGCCUUACACAUGCAAGUCCAACGGCAGCACAGAGAAGCUUGCUUCUUGGGUGGCGAGUGGCGAACGGGUGAGUAACAUAUCGGAACGUACCGAGUAGUGGGGGAUAACUGGUCGAAAGAUCAGCUAAUACCGCAUACGUCUUGAGAGGGAAAGCAGGGGACCUUCGGGCCUUGCGCUAUUCGAGCGGCCGAUAUCUGAUUAGCUAGUUGGUGGGGUAAAGGCCUACCAAGGCGACGAUCAGUAGCGGGUCUGAGAGGAUGAUCCGCCACACUGGGACUGAGACACGGCCCAGACUCCUACGGGAGGCAGCAGUGGGGAAUUUUGGACAAUGGGCGCAAGCCUGAUCCAGCCAUGCCGCGUGUCUGAAGAAGGCCUUCGGGUUGUAAAGGACUUUUGUCAGGGAAGAAAAGGCUGUUGCUAAUAUCAGCGGCUGAUGACGGUACCUGAAGAAUAAGCACCGGCUAACUACGUGCCAGCAGCCGCGGUAAUACGUAGGGUGCGAGCGUUAAUCGGAAUUACUGGGCGUAAAGCGAGCGCAGACGGUUACUUAAGCAGGAUGUGAAAUCCCCGGGCUCAACCUGGGAACUGCGUUCUGAACUGGGUGACUAGAGUGUGUCAGAGGGAGGUAGAAUUCCACGUGUAGCAGUGAAAUGCGUAGAGAUGUGGAGGAAUACCGAUGGCGAAGGCAGCCUCCUGGGAUAA